UGGAUUGGUCUGUAUGAUCAAACACAUGGUACCAGAACAUGGUACUGGUCUCUGCCUGGACUGGAGUUCAAUGAAAGUGAGACAAACUGGAUCACAGGAGCACCAACUGAUAAUGGAAACCCAAAGUAUAAAAACUGUGUAUUUCUGAAUCAAAAUCUCCAAUGGGGAGAUGCCGGCUGCGGGGCCCCGAAGUUCUUUGCCUGCUUUAAUCAAACCAACACAACCCAUAAAUAUCACCUGAUUAAAGAGUUGAAGUCCUGGCUGGAAGCUCAGAAUUACUGCAGAGAGAAACACACAGACCUGAUCAGUGGAAUGAAGCAGCUACAGGAUGAAGAAGUGAAGAAAUUGAUGAACUAUGGAUCUAUUCAGGUAAACAUUGGUCUGUUCAGAGACAGGUGGAGGUGGUCGGAUGGAAGCAGUUUCUCUUUCAGACACUGGAAUCUACAGUUUAAUAAUGAGUUAAUCAAUAGUGGUCAAUGUGCCAUGACUGUGUUUGAUGAUGGAGGCAGAUGGAAGAAUGAGAACUGUGAUGAGAAAAAACCCUUCAUCUGUUAUGAUGAUAAAGUGAUCCUGAUCAAAGAAAAUAAAACCUGGCAUGAGGCCUUGACCUACUGCAGAGAUCAUCAUGAUGACCUGGUCACCAUCACCAACAUGGAUGAACAGAUAUUGAUCCAGGAGAAAGUCAAGGACGCAUCGACUCCUUUCGUCUGGUUGGGUCUGCGCUUCAACUGCUUCAAGAAUGUCUGGU
This is a long non-coding RNA of Poeciliopsis prolifica (blackstripe livebearer), 748 nucleotides long. RefSeq lists it as uncharacterized. NCBI's taxonomy places the organism in Eukaryota, Metazoa, Chordata, Actinopteri, Cyprinodontiformes, Poeciliidae. The record is from RefSeq and is a predicted model, not a curated record. The transcript has 3 exons.